This is an RNA transcript of Durio zibethinus, 2716 nucleotides long. It is a transcript of the gene named heterogeneous nuclear ribonucleoprotein 1-like, with no coding region annotated. NCBI's taxonomy places the organism in Eukaryota, Viridiplantae, Streptophyta, Magnoliopsida, Malvales, Malvaceae. The record is from RefSeq and is a predicted model, not a curated record.
UUCCAUGCUAAUUAUCGAACAAUCUCUACCGUCCAAACGGCAUACUCCACCAUCCCUCACACUUCCUUCCUUAUUUAUUCCUCCCCAGCUCUUCACCCGCAAGUUACUCGCUCUCAACCCCCAAACCACACCCACGAACCUUUUCUACUUCUUCUCCUGCAAAUCCCUAAAAACCAAAAAUCCCUACCAAAAAAAGAUUAAAAUCAAACGUUUUUUGUUAGAUACUGAGGAAUAAAAGGAGAGGAAAAAGAAGAAGAAGAGGUAAAAUGGGGGGAGGAAUGGAUCCAGAUCAGGGAAAGUUGUUCAUUGGAGGGAUAUCAUGGGAAACAGACGAGGAUAAGCUAAGGGAAUACUUUAGCCAAUACAGCGACGUUUUGCAGACUGUUGUUAUGAGAGAUAAGGUUACGGGAAGACCUCGAGGGUUUGGAUUCGUUAUCUUCUCAGAUCCUUCCGUUCUGGAUUCUGUUCUUCAAGAAAAGCACACCAUCGAUGGUAGAACGGUCGAGUUAAAGAGGGCGUUAUCAAGAGAGGAGCAGCAAACUUCUGCUAGAUCUGGAAAUAGUAGUCAGGGUAGAUAUUCUGGAAGUGGUGGAACUAUCAGGACCAAGAAGAUUUUUGUUGGAGGGUUGCCUCCUACCUUAACUGAAGAUGGAUUUCGCCAAUAUUUUGAGGCUUAUGGUCAUGUAACCGAUGUAGUAAUCAUGUAUGACCAGAAUACUCAACGGCCUCGUGGAUUUGGUUUUAUCUCCUUCGACACUGAAGAUGCAGUUGAUAGGGUUUUGCACAAGAAUUUUCAUGAUUUGAAUGGCAAGCAAGUUGAAGUGAAGCUGGCCCUUCCUAAAGAUGCCAAUCCAGGUGGGGUUGGCCGAACUAUGAGUGGUGGUUCUGGUGGUGAUGGAGGUUACCAGGGCUAUGGUGCUUCUGGUGGGAACGCAAGUUCUUAUGAUUGUCCUAUGGACUCCAAUAGGUACAUGCAGGCCCAGAGUACUGGAGGUGGCUUUACACCUUAUGGCUCAUCAGGAUAUGCACCUGGUUAUGGUUAUGGUCCUGGCAAUAAUGGUGUUGGUUAUGGCAGUUAUGGCAAUUAUGGUGGUGCGGGUUCUGGUUAUGGUGCCCCUGCUGGUGAUGCUUAUGGAAAUCCCAAUGCUGGUUAUGCAAGUGGCCCUCCUGGUGCCCCUAGAAGUUCAUGGGGCACUCAAACUCCUUCUGGUUAUGGUACUAUGGGUUAUGGGAAUGCUGCUCCUUGGGAUGCCCCUGGUGCUGGUGCUGUUACUGGUGGUCCAGGUUCAGCAGCUACCGGCCAAUAUCCCAAUGGAGCUGCUGGAUACAGAACUCAAGGUUACAGCUAUGGUGGGUAUGGUGGAAAUGAUGGAUCUUAUGGGAAUGGUGAGUAUGGGGUUGUUGGUGGUCGUUCUGGUGGUACUCCAAAUAGUAAUGCUGCGGCUGCAGGUGGAGGAGAUAGACAAGGGAGUGGUGGUGGCUACAUGGGAGGUGGAUACGGUGAUGCAAAUGGAAGUUCAGGGUAUGGAAAUGCAUCAUGGAGGUCUGAUUCAUCACAAGGUUCUGGAAAUUAUUGGGGCACCCGGGCAAAUGGUGCUCAUGGUGGACAAGUCGGUUAUGGUGGUGGGUACAGUGGUGCUCAGGGCUGACAACCUCAACAGUGAUUCAAUUACUUGAAGGAUAAAUUGCUUAAUCUCAACCACUUCUGCGGAUAACCUUCUCUUUGCUCUUGUGAUUGUGAUGGUUUCUUAUUCCCAGCAGCAACAGGAGAGGCUCAAGUUGGAUGUCAAGUCACUUUGGGACUGGAGGAGAGAUGCUCAAGAGUUCAAAGGUGGGUCAAGUGUCCACUUAUCGUCAUUGCUGAACCUGUACUUCGUGGUGGGGGUUAUUCAGUGUGGGGUUUGUUCUCCAGAGGACUUGGCUCAGUUGAAAUUUUGAAUUAACAUGAAAGAGGGAGGCCCUUCCCCAUCCAGGUGCGGCCAACACUGCAAAUUCUUCGCUUUUGAAUUCAAAAAUUUUCCUGAUCUGCAUUCAGGUUUCUAUGGGGAUUUAUUCAGCAUGCAAUUGAAUUUGUGAAUCUAACAGUCUGGGAGUCUGGAUGCAGCAGCCAUGAUGGAUGUUAUCCUGUUCAGGGUACGCAGGUAUCCACCAGGGAAGAUACAUAUUCGUUUAUGAAGUCUUAACUUUGCGUGUGCUCGUUGAAACGCUCCUCUGGUAUUGAUAUGAACUGGGGAAAUGUAUAUCAAUCUUUGCCAUUAGCAGUAUAUUAGUGUUAUACAAUUUGGCCAAAUACUGUAAACGUAGGCAGUGGCUGCAGCACCAACAAUGCGCAGCACUGAAACUACUAUAAUUUGACACAAGUUGCUCCGUCAUCAGCCGAUACUGACUCACAGCAACUGAAAAACUCUUCAACAAAGAUGUUCUAUCAUGAAGGUAAUAGAAAUUAAAACAUUCAACUUAAACAUAUUAGGUACUCAGGUUUUUUGUUGGGUAGGUGAUCGUGGAAAGACAAUUCUUCAAGCUUUAAUGGUUUUGUAUAUUAUUAUAUAAACUUUUGGGGUGCAGGAUUUCAAACUAAUCAAGAACUUUUAGAAACAAUGAAAAUUGCAUCCAAGCAUUUGAUUCAAUAGGUGCUGCAUAAUCUUCAUAGUUGAAUGAAAUUGAACUUGUAGUGAUCAGUUUCAGCAAAUUUAAUGCAUAGUUACCAAUACUGAUA